ACGGGAGGCAGCAGUGGGGAAUAUUGCGCAAUGGGCUCAAGCCUGAUGCAGCGAUGCCGCGUGAGGGAAGAAGGUUUUCGGAUUGUAAACCUCUGUCACCGGGGACGAUAAUGACUGUACCCGAGAAGGAGGCUCCGGCUAACUACGUGCCAGCAGCCGCGGUAAUACGUAGGGAGCGAGCGUUAUCCGGAAUUACUGGGUGUAAAGGGAGUGUAGGCGGGACUGUAAGUCAGAUGUGAAAUAUACCGGCUCAACUGGUAGGCUGCAUUUGAAACUGCGGUUCUUGAGUGAAGUAGAGGUAAGCGGAAUUCCUAGUGUAGCGGUGAAAUGCGUAGAUAUUAGGAGGAACAUCAGUGGCGAAGGCGGCUUACUGGGCUUUAACUGACGCUGAGGCUCGAAAGCGUGGGGAGCAAACAGGAUUAGAUACCCUGGUA
This 434-nucleotide ribosomal RNA is filed under the name uncultured Ruminococcus sp. Its description in RNAcentral is "bacterial SSU rRNA". It matches the Rfam family "Bacterial small subunit ribosomal RNA", at positions 341 to 792 of the family's 1533-position model. Lineage: Bacteria; Bacillati; Bacillota; Clostridia; Eubacteriales; Oscillospiraceae. The record is from RNAcentral.